This 446-nucleotide ribosomal RNA is filed under the name uncultured bacterium. Its description in RNAcentral is "bacterial SSU rRNA". It matches the Rfam family "Bacterial small subunit ribosomal RNA", at positions 335 to 803 of the family's 1533-position model. The record is from RNAcentral.
ACUCCUACGGGAGGCAGCAGUGGGGAAUCUUAGACAAUGGGCGCAAGCCUGAUCUAGCCAUGCCGCGUGAGUGAUGAAGGCCGUUAGGGUCGUAAAGCUCUUUCGCCAGAGAUGAUAAUGACAGUAUCUGGUAAAGAAACCCCGGCUAACUCCGUGCCAGCAGCCGCGGUAAUACGGAGGGGUUAGCGUUGUUCGGAAUUACUGGGCGUAAAGCGCGCGUAGGCGGAUCAGAAAGUUGGGGUGAAAUCCCGGGGCUCAACCUCGGAACUGCCUUCAAAACUCCUAGUCUAGAGUUCGAGAGAGGUGAGUGGAACUCCGAGUGUAGAGGUGAAAUUCGUAGAUAUUCGGAAGAACACCAGUGGCGAAGGCGGCUCACUGGCUCGAUACUGACGCUGAGGUGCGAAAGUGUGGGAGCAAACAGGAUUAGAUACCCUGGUAGCGACUGA